This 447-nucleotide ribosomal RNA is filed under the name uncultured bacterium. RNAcentral describes it as "partial 16S ribosomal RNA". It matches the Rfam family "Bacterial small subunit ribosomal RNA", at positions 29 to 523 of the family's 1533-position model. The record is from RNAcentral.
AACGAACGCUGGCGGCAGGCUUAACACAUGCAAGUCGAACGCACCGCAAGGUGAGUGGCAGACGGGUGAGUAACACGUGGGGAUCUGCCCAAUGGUACGGAAUAGCUCCGGGAAACUGGAAUUAAUACCGUAUGUGCCCUUCGGGGGAAAGACUUAUCGCCAUUGGAUGAACCCGCGUCGGAUUAGCUAGUUGGUGAGGUAAAGGCUCACCUAGGCGACGAUCCGUAGCUGGUCUGAGAGGAUGAUCAGCCACACUGGGACUGAGACACGGCCCAGACUCCUACGGGAGGCAGCAGUGGGGAAUAUUGGACAAUGGGCGCAAGCCUGAUCCAGCCAUGCCGCGUGAGUGAUGAAGGCCUUAGGGUUGUAAAGCUCUUUCGCCGACGAAGAUAAUGACGGUAGUCGGAGAAGAAGCCCCGGCUAACUUCGUGCCAGCCGCCGCGGUAA